GUUUGAAACCAGACCUAUAUGCAGCGUCUUCCUUAGAAUAUAACAUACUCUGCUAUCAAGCGUAGUGGAAAGGAAAGAACAUAGAUUUCCACAUCUGAGGGCUUGGGUUGGAAUUAUUGUCUAAGGCAAGUUAGUAACCGCCUCUGAACUUGGUUUUCCCAUCUGGAAAGUGGAGGUGAAAAUGCCUGCCUGGCAGUGUUGUGGAAUGACUAGAUGGGAUAAUGGUUGUUAAACAUGUAACCGAUCACCUGCACACAGCAUCUGCUCAGUGAAUGCUGGUUCCCUUUCUUCCAUUAGUUCCCUUGUUCUCAAUGUUAGGACUGAUAGGCGUAAGUCUCUGUUGUGGCUCAGAAAGAGGAGAGCUUAUUCUCUGGGGAUAUUCACAGUGGAGGGUGACAGCCAUACCUCUUGGUCCCUGAGACUCUGAGCUCCUGUUUGCAUUUUACUUUAUAGUGAAAAGAGCGAGAGUCGCACCUGGCUAGACCAGGGCAGAACUCACUCUGGGCCCUCUCAAGGUCAUCCUCCU
Molecule: long non-coding RNA, 526 nt
Filed under: Homo sapiens (human)
Lineage: Eukaryota; Metazoa; Chordata; Mammalia; Primates; Hominidae
Description: HSALNT0068374
Source: RNAcentral